CUCAGUCUCAUUCAAAUUAGGAUUCGGUUUGUCUUCAAAUUCUUUCAACUCUUUGCUUAUUUCUUCUAGUGCUUCUUCUUCAUCAUAUUCCCCAUCCUGCUUCAUUACAUCUUGAUUAGUUUGGAUUUUAAGGUCAGGCUGAAAAUUCCGCAUGCAUGUCAUAUCAUUAGAAUCUGCAUAAAGAGAACUGUAUAUUAAAAAAAAAGAAAAACAAAAUAUAUUAGACACGAAUCAAAAAGGGACAUUGCAUUUCAUUAAAUAAAAAGAGAGAAGGGUUUAAACAUAUAUGCCAACAUAACAUAAACAAACUAAAAUCCGAAUUACAACCCUGAAAUAACUCGGAUAAAUAGGAAGAAAACAAAAUAAACUACCAAAACUCCCUCUUGAUGGGGAGAGGAGUGACUUCCCAAUUAUUGAGUCAGACAACUGGACCUAUGAAUUGCACAUCUGCCAUAAUGGUACCUUCUCCUGCUUUGACCAUAUCAACUUCAAUAAAAAGGUUCUACCAGUCAUCAACAAAUUUAACUUCAAAUUCCACAUGCUUCGUGACACAGCUCUUAACAAAUGAUUCACUGAGUAGUGUCAUUGGGCGAGGGAGUGACCAUAUUUCCUUUUUUCUUCCCUUGGCAUUCUUCAUAUCUUUAUCCGCAGGCUCAAAUCCCAGAUCAAAUGUGCCUAUGUUCUCACUCGGACAUAUGGGACGAACUAUACCGUGCAGAGACGCUCCCAAACUCUUUCUUGGCUGAAAUCUGUAUUUCCAAAGUUCACUCACCAUCAUAAUAGAAGUGGAAGACAAUUGCGAUCCCGGUAUAACCUGCCAUUCAAGAUGCGAUUCACUGGCACUGUAUUAAAAAUUUGAUAAACGAAUGUCUCCUCUACGUUAUUUGCUUCAAUAAGAGACAAGGGAGAAUCUUCACCGGCGGACAAAUCUCCUUCACCGUAAAUAACCACUUCUUGCCUUUCAUGCUCAAACUUAAUCAUUUGGUGCAGUAUAGAUGCAACCGUCUUGGCCUUGUGGUCCACGGCCUUCCAAUAAUAGAUUGUAAGAGAAGUCUAUUUUCAAUACUUAAAAUUCUAUGGCGAACUCAACAGGCCCUAUGGUCAACAUUAGUUUGAUUUCGCCAAUGGAGUUUGAUUUUGCACCAUCGAAAGUCCUGACACAUACAUUGUUGGGAUUGAUCCUGUCAGCACCAAUAUUCAACUUUUGUAAAGUAGAAAUAGGGCAAAUAUUUGCCCCUGAACCUCCAUCAAUCAUAACAUGAGUGAUGUAGAAAUCUUUAUACUUCACUGUAAUGUAAAGGACCCGGUUAUGCCCUGUACCUUCAGCAGGCAAUUCAUCAUCAGAAAAGCUGAUCCGAUUGACCUCAAAGAUUUUUCCAACCAUUUUCUCAAGUUGGUUGAUUGUAAUCUCCUUAGGAACAUAUGCUUCAUUUAAUACCUUCAGUAAAAUAUCAUGAUGCUCCUCGGAGUGCAACAGCAAAGAUAAAAGGGAAAUUUGCGCGGGGGUCUUCUUCAACUGGUCUAAUAUUGAAUACUCCGGCAAUUUUAUCUUUUUCAUAUUCUUCUUCGGUGAUAGGCUUUUUGAUAGAUGAUGGUCCACUCAUAAUUGGCUUGGACUUUCUUAAACUUUCAGGCAUAAAGCAUCUUCCUGACGUAGUCAAACCCCCUACCUCAUCUACAUCUUCCACUACUUCUUUCCCGCGAUAGGUCAUCAAAGUCCACCUAUAAUUCCAGGGAACCCUUUUCGAAUCAACUAUUGGUGGUUGGGUUACAGGUUUGAGGAAAAUAGGCAUUGCCAGUGCUCCUUUCACCAUCAAGAUGGGCUAACUCAAAGCUCCUACCACUGUCAACUUAGGUUUAUCCUGACUUAAAUCAACAUACCUUCUGGUGCCUUGUACUAUGAUCAGGGGUUUCUUUGUGCUUUCUUGGGCUUUAUCUUCUCUCAUUCCUUCCUGGCACGAUGACAUUACUUUCAAAGACUCUGCUACAUUCACCGAUCUCUUCUCAAUGGUCUGUACCUUGACAAUAGGCUUAUAACACCUUGAAGACUCUUUCCUAUCAUAUAUCAAUUCUAACAUAUUGGUUUCAGCAUGGGUUGGCAGCAGAUUUUGGUUAAUGUUUGGACCCUCCGGGGCCUGGACCUGCAUUUGAUUUGUGUUAAUUAAAUCUUGGAUAGCUCUCUUUAAAUGCCAGUAUUUCUCGAUAUCAUGGCCUGGCAUGUCAGAGUAGUACGCACACCUUGAAGAAUAAUCAAGAUUCCUCGGCGGUGGGUUUGAAAACCUUUCUUAAAUUGGGCUUAAGACCUUCAACUUUCUCAACCUAUCAAACAGGCUAGCAUAUGACUCCCCAAGAGGUGUGAAUUGAUUUUUGACCGUCUUCUCUUUCUUAUACUCAGGCCUAGGUUGAAAACAGGGUCUGGAGGGGUUUUGGUAAUUCGGUGGAGCAAAUGGGCGAUUUUAUGGAGCUUGCGCAUGCCAUUAUGGGUAAGAAGGAGUUUGGGCAUAUGGCUACAUGCUAUAUACUGGGUACGGGGAUGGUGGAAUGGAAUAUAAAAGAAUUUUUGGAGGGUAGUAAUUGUGGGGAGGAAUAUAUGGAGCUUGGGCGUAGACUUGGGCUUGGGAUUGGGGAUAGGGGCGAGGUGGUCUUUUAGGAUAGGAAUGGGUUCUAGAUACGACAGUCGCCACGUCCUUUUUCUUCUUUUUACCUUCGAAUGCGCUAGAUCCACCUUGAAUCGCUUGUGUGGUGGCUUUUAAUGCGGCAAAACUUACUAUUCGGCCGCUCUUGAUUUCGUCCUCUAUCAUCUCCCCCAUUUUGAGGACUUCAAUAAAAGACUUUCCCAUUGCCAGAAGUAAAUGUUGAAAAUAGGUCUCAUCCUAUGCCUGAAUGAAAACCUCUACCAACUUAAUUUCUUUCAUUGGAGGUUUUACCCUGGUGUCCUGUUCACGCUACCUUAUCGCGUAUUCCCUAAAACCUUCAGUGCUUUUCUUCUUCAUGUUGACCAAGGAUUUUUUGUCCGGAAUCAGGUCAAUGUUAUACUGAAAAUAUUGAAAAAAACUCAGAAGCUAAGUCAUCCCAUCUUUUCCUCUUGUCGAUAUCUUGAUCGAUAAACCAUUCUAAAGCCAGAUCAGAAAGACUCUUGCCAAAGAAGGCCAUGAGCAGCUCUUUCCUUCCUCCUGCAUCCCUCAACUGGUUGUAAUAACGUCUCAAGUGUGCCACGGGAUCACCGUGCCCUGCAUACUUCUCGAACUUGGGCAUUUUAAAAUCGAAGAGAAGGUUGAUGUCUGGAAACAUGCAAAGAUUUUUAGAGGAAACACUCCUAUAAUCUCCUAUUCCCUGCAAAUUCCUUAUAGCCUGUUCUAAAAUUUUCAACUUACGUGCUAUGAUUUACUGUUCCUCUAUUGCGAUACGUUUCUCCGUAUUAAAUGGAAAUACAGGUGGCUGAGUGUACCCAUACGGUUCAUUCAUUCUCAAAGUAGGCUCCGGGGCAUAAUACUGACUAUCUAGAACCUUCAAUACUGGCUCACUGGCAGACCUAGAAAGCCCCAUUGCGGGACGCACAACAUAUAAGGGAGCUUUAGGUGGUGGCGGAGCCACGAAUACCGAUGUGAUCGAUGGCACCGGCUGAGCAGUGGGUCUUGGUUGGGGAGCUGCCAAGGGCACACCAGAACUGCCAGGAUAAUAAUAUCACGGAGUGAAUCCUGGCGCGUGCUCAGGUGACUCAGUAGGAGCAGAGAAUUGCGCCUGAGAGAGCGGUGGGCAAUUAGAGAUAUUCCCAAGACCUUCAGGGAGCGUAGGAAGAGGCAUUCCUCUGGCCCAUGCCUGGUGCAAAUCUAUCAAUUAUUGCCUGAGCCUUACUACCUCCUCAUUGUGUUCUGAACUUUCUUCCCUGUGAUCCUGAUCUGGGUCAAUGAGCGAAUUUUCAAUCUCCUUGCAAGCCAUGGCGAGCUUUGCUUUAGAUCUAAUGAAGUAUGGGUGACUAGCCAGAGUGAAGCAAAUCUACCACUGUUAUCUGAAAGAACAUGCUCAUCAAAGACGACAUCGUUAGGAUUAGGGCACACAACAAGUAUGGGAAUCACAUUGGUAAAAUUGUACUAAAUUCAUGUUCAUUUCUACCAGCUUUUGAGGGUAGCGAGGUCAUUUUAACAUCAUCCCAAUUUUUAUCUACACUUAUUAUUAUUAUUAUUAUUAUUUAUUAUUAUUUUCCUCCUUUCCCUCUCUCUUAUUUUUCAUAUCAGCUCUCUGUUCUUUCCCUUUAUUGUCUCAUCAUCCUUUCUUUCUUUUCUUCUCUCGUUAUCUACCUUUAUUUUAUCACUCUUUAUGGCUUUUGUUUUUCUUUAAAAGAGGAAAAAUAAUGAAAAACAAUGAAACAAAAUGAUUAUAUCGAACCCAAAAGCAGGUUGCCUACGUAUCAUGUUGUACGCGAAUUAGAUCUUGCGUAGUUCGGCCAGCAUAUGCAUAAACAUUACAUAAUUGAAUUAUUAUUAUUAUUAUUUAUUUAUUAUUAUUUUCCUCCUUUCCCUCUCUCUUAUUUUUCAUAUCAGCUCUCUGUUCUUUCCCUUUAUUGUCUCAUCAUCCUUUCUUUCUUUUCUUCUCUCGUUAUCUACCUUUAUUUUAUCACUCUUUAUGGCUUUUGUUUUUCUUUAAAAGAGGAAAAAUAAUGAAAAACAAUGAAACAAAAUGAUUAUAUCGAACCCAAAAGCAGGUUGCCUACGUAUCAUGUUGUACGCGAAUUAGAUCUUGCGUAGUUCGGCCAGCAUAUGCAUAAACAUUACAUAAUUGAAUUAUUAUUAUUAUUAUUAUUAUUAUUAUUAUUAUUAUUAUUAUUAUUAUGUUUUGUAUUAUUAUUAUUAUUAUUAUUAUUUCGCAAAAACGAAAACAAACAAACAAAAGAAAGACGUAACCUCAUAACAGUUGAUGAAAGAAAGAAACAAAACAUGCAACGAAUUUAGGACCGCUUUAAGAACUAAAUAACAAAUACAAAAUAACAUUCUAGACCCCUAAGCUGACAUACGUGAAAUUACUGAUAAAGACCCUAAUACCAAAACAACUUGACUCUGACUUAAAACUGACGCCACCCUAAAAUGACAGAAACCUAAAAGACCUAAGCCGAAUAAAGAUAAGAAAUGCUCUUUCAGACUGGUGCUCCGCGUGAUGACUCUAGCUGAGAUGGACCUACCUGUGAAGUUCUCUUUCUCCCAUUCAAACUUUAUAGCAUAUCCUGUAAAGACACCCUGAUAUUAGGGAAGAAGCUUCGGGUCCGUAUUCCUGCCUCAUGAGGAGUGCACUUGGAAAGAUUAUUCUGACACCUUUCUACUAUCUUGAACAAAUCUGCUAACUGAACUCUCAGAGUCUCCACUUUGGACCCCACACUUUCUUCCGGAUGGUCUUGAACUGUGCAUUCUUCCUGUAUUCUCUCUCUAAGCUGCGCUGAAUAGGAUUGACUGAUACCCCGAGGGACAGAUUGAAGCCAGAUCCCAUAUCCCUGAGUGUACCCCGUAUUGUCCAAACUUUCUUUGAGGGUGUCCACACCUAGCUUUGUUGCAUGCUUCCAGAACUGCUUGUAUUUGCAUUUACCUAAGGCUUGGUCCUUGAAGUACUCAACAUCCUUUAGAAGAUCCACCACUGGUGGCACGUCCUGCGGCCUACCCAACUUGCGCAUUACCCUAGAAGGACUGUAUGGUCUAGUGCAAUUAAGCCCUAACAUAACUAGAACGAGCUACAUUUGACAACCAAACAAGAUUAUCUUUGGUCGAAGCCACAGACAAGUCCACAAAAUGUUAUCCCCGUUCCUUAACUCAAGAAAUUCAAUCCAAGCGUCGACUCCCAUGGGUAGCGAGAAUUUACCCAAACGCAACCUGAGGUCCAUGGAUUUCACUCGAUUGGGAAUACAACGCUCUACCACGUCUGGUCUAACUAAAGAAGGUGCAUGCAAAUGCUCCAUCAUCCAUAACUGCAAUAUCAGGUUACUGCCCUCAAAAAAUCUCACCUCCACUUCACUUCGGUUAAAGCCUUAUAUAUUUCUGUUAAGAUCAUGGGUAUGAGAGUGAACCUGCCCUUUUGAUUAAUGCCCUUGACAUUUUGAUCCUUAUGAAACAGAGCCAUCAUCACAGAUUGCAACCGUGUAUUAAUACGUCUUUCUUUUAGCGGAAACACUAAUGUACCUAACAAAGCAAGGGUGAAGACUUCAAGAUGCUUUCUCUCCCACUUCUCCUUAGUCAUAUAAAAUUCAUCCCAAAAGCAAUCAAAACCUUCCAUGGGCCUGAAUCUAGCAAACAAAAAAUCUAAGGAAACCCACGAAUCACUUAAACAACCCAAACACAUACCCUUACUUUUUAAACUACAAGACUACAAAAAUCUCACGCCAGUAUGAUUUCGUGCUCGGAUCAUAUCCUUCUCGAUAUAGGGCAAAUGCAACAAAUCGGAUAUUUCUGCCAAAGUAGGAGUCAUUUCACAUUCCCCAAACCUGAACACCAAAGUACUUGGAUCUCAAAAGGUCAAAAAAGCCUCUAUUAAAUCUGGACAAGGGGUUACAUGCAGAAGUUACAUAAGAUCACCUAAUAUUUUAAUCAGUUUCUGCUGAUCAACAUAGUUAAACAUUUCCCACCACUUGAUUAACUUUUUGGGCACCUUGAAAACUAUCAGGACUCUAGAAUUGGUGGACAAAUCCAUCCUGUAGUAACACAUAAGACACUAUCUCAAAAAUUCGACAGGAGUAGAAGAUUUCCAACCCUUGGGGUUUUUGACGCAAACAUAUGUCGAUGGGACAGACCACUUCAUGACUCCAAUUUGUGGAACAGAAGUACUGAGAAAAAUUAGUCUACUUGGCUAACAACUCUAUAUUACGGGGCGAUAGACCUAGGCUAAUAAUAAGACAAAGGCCAACACAAAGAUUAUCGGAGCCACCGAGGGUUGCCUACGUAUUCCAACCCGAGGUAAGGGAAUCAGGUAUGUGUAGUUCAUCUAGAUUGGACAAUUAAUGAUUAACUAAUAAAUAGACCUUAACUUAAGAGACAACCAAAAACAAACGAAUGAAAACUUUUUGGAUUUUCAUCUAGACAUUUCAACUAAGACUGACACCACCAAUUAUGAAAAAAAUCUUUUUGGUAUUUUAUUUUUGACAAAUAAGUAGAAAAGGCAAACAAAACCCCUCUUUUUUUUCUUUUUUUUUUCUUUUUUUUGUUGAACUUACGGUACUUUGAGAAGAUGAAUGCAAAAACGUAAAAAGAAAAAAUAUUUUUGAGUUUUUGGAUCGUGAAGAACAAAAGCCAUAAAGAACUCUAAAAUAAACUACGACACUCCUUUUGAUUCAAUGUUUUCAACUCACUUUUUUUCUCUCUCUCUCUCUCUCUCUAUGUAUAUAUUUUCUUUUUCAUUUUUGCCUACGCACCUUACUCCUAACAAAUGUUUAUCAGGACUCUAGAAUUGGUGGACAAAUCCAUCCUGUAGUAACACAUAAGACACUAUCUCAAAAAUUCGACAGGAGUAGAAGAUUUCCAACCCUUGGGGUUUUUGACGCAAACAUAUGUCGAUGGGACAGACCACUUCAUGACUCCAAUUUGUGGAACAGAAGUACUGAGAAAAAUUAGUCUACUUGGCUAACAACUCUAUAUUACGGGGCGAUAGACCUAGGCUAAUAAUAAGACAAAGGCCAACACAAAGAUUAUCGGAGCCACCGAGGGUUGCCUACGUAUUCCAACCCGAGGUAAGGGAAUCAGGUAUGUGUAGUUCAUCUAGAUUGGACAAUUAAUGAUUAACUAAUAAAUAGACCUUAACUUAAGAGACAACCAAAAACAAACGAAUGAAAACUUUUUGGAUUGGGUAGACACAUGAUGACAGAUAUAAAGCAUUAACACAUAGGAUAAAUACUAUAAACAAAGAGCACGAAAAACGCACAAAAGUGAAAACAAUAACACAAACAAAAUCACAAACAAUGCUUAUACACUCGUAAUGCCAAACAAAGCCGAUACAACUCCAAAAAAUAGCUCGAAUUCUGAAAACUUGUCAUUGUCCCCAGCAGAGUCGCCAGAACUGUCACACCCCUUUUUCGUACUACAAAAGAUUAGUUUUAAGUUUUGAAAGGGUUUUUAUUAUUAAAGUGACAAAGAUGAAAAUUUGUUUCGAAAAAGGACUAUUUACAUUUUUUAUUCAGAGUCGCCGCUUGGCAUAAUUUGGUGUGCCAAGUCACCACUGGAAAAUCCUUUUCAAAACUAUUUGACUCUUUAAACUGGUUUGCGANNNNNNNNNNNNNNNNNNNNNNNNNNNNNNNNNNNNNNNNNNNNNNNNNNNNNNNNNNNNNNNNNNNNNNNNNNNNNNNNNNNNNNNNNNNNNNNNNNNNNNNNNNCGAAUGUAUAAAUCACACAAAGCAUGCACAACAAUCAAUCAAGCAGACCAAAACAAAACAAUCCAAAAUUAUAAUGUCGAUUCCGAUUAUACAGUCCAAAAUAAAGUUUUAAAAAAUGCGGAAAUAUAAACCUAUGCUAACCUACACUAGUCUUAAACUACGCUCUACCCGAUGCCUUGGACCUUCAUCACGAUCGUCCUCCGCUAACAUAGUGCGUCGGGGCAUUCCCCGGUGAAUAAAUACAAUGUGUCUCGGGGCAUUCCCCGGCUAAAUGAAUAUAUUUGAAUUAAAUACGAUAAACUAGAAACAAACAUUCCCACACACAUUAAAUAUUUUGCCAAAACAACAAGUUCUAAAAUUUGCCUACCCAAGCCUAUAUUUGCAUAGUUGCUUCAACAGGUCAUAAUUCUAUCGUGCUCUAUAUCAACAAUAAAUCAAAAUUAACCUAAAAUUAUACUUUUCAUCAAUUUUCAAUUCCAACCCCCCAAACUUCCUUUUAAAAAUCACCAUUAAAAUAUGGUCAAAUUCAUUCCUCAAACUACCAAAUUCGAAUCACCAAGCAUCAUGAUCAUAGCAUUCAACAACAUCAAACAAUCGUAAAUCAAACAACACACACAAUCAGGGACAUUUCAACGAAUUUAAAAUGAAGAAGAGAGAGCGGGUUAAAGAAAUGGACCUUUCGAUAUCAACUUUCGUUGAUAGUAAUGAAUUAAAGAAGACCCAAGUUUGGAAUCCUCAAUAGCACCUCAACAAUGAAUAAGCUGCUAACUCGGUACCAAAAUCCAACCCGAACUGACUCGACCACACAAAAUCAAAGACUCAAUCGUUCCAUUAACCGAAUCGCGAUAAAGAAGAAAAUACAACCAGAUCCAAAAAUUGAUUUCAGCCAGAACCAACUCGAUACGAAACCUGAACUUAAGGUUCGAUUCAAAUACUAAAUCCACGAAGAAACUAGGAGUAUUCAACAGAAACAAUGAACAGAUUGAAAGACUAACCUAAAAAGAUCGGAAUCUAACCCAGAACAACCAAAAUCAACCCAAGAAAGUCGAUCUCCAGCUGAUUUAAUUAUCGAAAUCUUGUCUCUAGGCAGUGGCGAUGGAUUAAAUCGAAAUUCCAGCGAGUUUCGGAGUUAAAACAAAGUAGGUGAGGUGAUUUUCGGUGAAGAACGGCCAGAAAACUCGACCUACAGUCAAGUUCUUCUGACUUGUAUCUCUUUGUUCUACUCCAUUUUUGGGGUGUGUAUGUGUGAUCUCGUGUGGUUCGGAAGAGUGGGGAGGAUGGUCACCUCUGUUUUGUGGUGUGCCUGUGGUUGUUUUUUAUUCUGAGAGUGAUGUCCUCUCUAGUUUUUGGUCAGUGAGCUUAUGUAUAUCCUCCUGAUGAUGAAAAGAAAUGGAGUCGAUAUCCUCUUUUCUUUGGGUCAAAGAAACGUGGGAGAGGGGUGGUAACGUGGGGUAGGGUAGGAGGCGUAGGGGUGUUUUAUUUUGAUUGGGUAGGUUGUUAGGAUAGGAUAAAAUUAGUUAGGGAAUUGUUAUUUUUGUCAUUUUGUGGAGGGAUUAUCACACGGGUGAGGGUAUACGGUAGGAUAAGGUAAAAAAUAGGUAAAAACGAUAUCGGGGAGGGACGAAAUUAGAUGUAUACAAUAUAUAUAUAUAUAUAAUAUAUAUAUAUAUAUAUAUACAUACACACACAACAAUCACUCCAUUUUCCAUUUUUUCUUUGAUUUGAGCAGAACAUACAACACUCGAAGUUGAAAAAGAAAAAAGAAAGAUCUAGGUGAGAGAGGAACAAUAUACACGUACACAGUUAGGAUAGAUCAAAAAAUAUGGCAGGAUCUUGAGACUUAGCCAGAGUCCGCCUCUCCAUCAUUGCUUUCCCGUCGUCGUUUGAUUUUCGCCGUGAUUCUAGAUUCAUUGUUUUUCAUUAUUUUGUUUCUCUGAAAUCUUGGUGUUGAUCCUCGUUGAUCUUCGUGAAUUUUUGUUGGUUGGACUAGACUUCAAUAUUAGAUCUCGGUUGUUCAUCGAUCCCGCUCGUAGGUCUAUUUUGCUCGAAUUAGAAGUUGGAUUACCACAUUGCUGGACUGUUUAUCAUAAGAUUGUGAGAUUCAAAUUUGGUUUUAUUGUAUUCUUGGAUUGUUUCUUAACUGAUUCGGAGGAUUGAGAUUUCGUUGAGGUCUUUCAAGGUUCGUGGAUGGGCUCUUGUUUCUUUUAUUAAGUCAAUCAAAAGCUCCAAAGGUCCAAUUCUAACUUUUCUCUUUUUGAUUUUCCUGUGAUCAUGAAUGAUUUGUAUGUUUGGGAAUAUUUGAAUCCUUGUUGGUUGCUUGUUUGAUGAUGGAUUGGAGGUAAAAACUUGGUUGUUGAAUUGUGUAUAGAACUAGUUUAAUUAUUUUGAAAGUGAAUUCGGGAAGGGAUUAAAAAAUUCGUAAAAGUGAAUACCGGCUUAUGUUGAUUAAUUUGUUUUGUUGACUUAAAAUGCAUGUUAAAAUCUUCUAACUUGGUAGUAUCAUGUCUUAGGCUGGACAUAAAUAGUUAAAUUCUGUUUAGGAUCCUCCUGGAAAAUGAAAUUUACUUUCUGUUCAGGACCCUCCUGGAAAAUGGGACUUUAAUUUCUGUUCAGGACCCUCUUGGAAAAUGAGAUUUACUUUAUGUUAAGGACCCUCCUGAAAAAUAGGACUUUAGUUUCUGUUCAGGACCCCCAUGAAAAAUGAAAAUUUACUUUAUCUUCAGGACCCUCCUGAAAAAUGAGACUUUACUUUCUGUUCAGGACCCUUCUAAAAAAUGUGAUUUUACUUUCUGUUCAGGACCCUCCUGAAAAAUAGGAUUUUACUUUCUGUUCAGGACCCUCCUGAAAAAUGGGACUUCACUUUCUGUUCAGGAUCCUUCUGAAAAAUGGAACUUUACUUUCUAUUUAGGACCCUCCUGAAAAAUAAAAUUUUACUUUCUGCUCAGGACCCUCAUGAAAAAUGAGAUUUUACUUUUUGUUCAACACCCUCCUGAAAAAUGAGGUUUACUUUAUGUUCUGGACCCUCCUAAAAAAUGGGACUUCACUUUCUGUUCAGGACCCUCCUGAAAAGUGUGAUUUUAUUUUCUGUUCAGGGCCCUCCAGAAAAAUAAGAUUUUACUUUCUGUUCAAGACCAUCUUCGAAAAUGGGACCAUACCAUCAAAAAUUAAAAACUUCUUUAUUAUAAUCUUUGUUUGGGAUAAUUUUCAUUCUAGUUUUGAUUCUGGUUUCUGGAGUCCGCCUGAAGAAGAAGGUGAUAAAAUUGAAAGUUGAUGGAAAAUUGCAAGUCAGUAGUCCACUUGAAGAGUAGGGUGAUGAAACUCAAGUCAAGAGUCCAAAAAGAAGCUGUAUAGGUAGGAUUUUUGCAAUUUUAUUUACGUUUUAACUUGUAAUUUUUAUUUUUGAUGUAAUAACAAAGCUGCGGAUCGGAGCCUCGAUGGGACCUCACUCAAUUCUCCAACUUGGUAUAGUCUCUCUCCAUCUAAUCCUUUGAGAUACCUGUCACUUUAUUAACUCAUAACGUGGGUAGGUAGGAUGUCCUAAGUCAAGACCUGGUUUUCCUCCUUCCCCUUGCUCCAUGCUUUUGAAUAAAGAUUGGAACAAAAUUUAUCUUGUUGUCUACUGCUUUGUAUGAAAACACCAUGUGUUUGCAUCCAAAGGGGGCAUGAUGUAGACAUGUAAUUUUGUCCCUCCCAACAAAAAUAUAUUUUAAUUAUUUCUAUUUUUAUUUUUAUUUCAUUUAUUUUAUUUUUAUUUUAUUUUAUUUUAUUUUUAUUCUAUUUUUAUUUUUAUUUCUAUUUGCAUCCACUUGACCAUGCCACCUCAACACUUCACCCCUCAGUUUUCAUUAGAUACAUGCAAAGGGUACACACCCUACUCAUUUUGCCACAUGCCACACUCAUCUUUCCACAUGUCAUACUUUAUUUUACACAUGCCACACACAUAUACCCACAAGCCACCAAUGAUAUUCAUACACAAUAUAACUAAAAAGCAAAAAAAUAAAAUAAAAGAGGAGAAUGGAGACAAAAGAGGGGGUCCCACGUGGCUUGGUUGGUUUUUCUUUUUGUUCAAUUGAUUGAUAAAAGAAUUAUAUUAGGGGAAUCUUCCAUAGGAUACCUCACAUACAUUGGCCCAACAACAAACAAAUUCACACACCCUCACGUAUACAUAGAUAAUUACAUCCAGAAAGGGUGGGGUGGGGUGGGGGGGGAAUUUUUCUUUGAUCAUCUUCUUCUUCUUUAAAUUUCACCAUACAUAGGAACUUGACCAAGAGUAUAUAUAUAUAUAUAUACACACAACAAUCACUCCAUUUUCCAGUUUUUUUAUUUGAUUUGAGCAUAACAUACACCACUCGAAGUUAAAAAUAAAAUAAAGAAAGAUCUAGGUGAGAGAGGAACAAUAUACACAUACACAGUAAGGAUGGAUCGAAAAAAAUGGCAGGAGCUUGAGACUUAAUCGGAGUCCGCCUCGUCAUCGCUGCUUUUCUGUCGUCGUUUGAUUUUUGCCAUGAUUCUGGAUUCAUUGAUUUUCAUUAUUUUGUUACUCUGAAAUCUUGGUGCUGAUCCUCGUUUCUCUUUGCGGACUUUUGUUGUUCGGACUAGGCUUCAAUGUUAGGUCUCAAUUGUUCAUCGAUCCCGCUCGUAGGUCUAUUUUGUUUGAAUUGAAAGUUGGAUUACCACAUUGCUGGACUGUUUAUCAUUUGAUUGUGAGAGUUGAAUUAGGUUUUAUUGUAUUUUUGGACUGUUUAUCAACUGAUUCGGAGGAUUGAGUUUUGGUUGAGGUCCUUCGAGGUUCAUGGACGGGCUCUUGUUUCUCUUAUUAAGUCAAUCGAAAGCUCCUAAGGUCCAAUUCUAACUUUUAUCCUUUUGAUUUUCCCGUGAUUAUGAAUGAUUUGUAUGUUUGGGAAUAUUUGAAUCCUUGUUGGUUGCUUGUUUUAUGAUGGAUUGGAGGUAAAAACUUGGUUGUUGAAUUGUGUAUAGAACUAGUUUAGUUAUCUUGAAAGUGAAUUCAGGAAGGGAUUAGAAAGUUCGUAAAAUUGAAUACCGACUUAUGUUGAUUAAUUCGUUUUGUUGACUUAAAAUACAUGUUAAACUCUUCGAACUUGGUAGUAUCAUGUCUUAGGCCGUACAUCAACAGGAAAUGUUUCUGUUGAAUGAUUUUUUUUUAUUUCAUUGCAAUUAAUCUAAUGUAUUCAUUUAGCCGGGGAAUGCCCCGAAGUAUCUGUAUAUAUAUUUAUUCACCGGGAAUGCCCUGACGUACUAUGUUGGUGAAGGAGGAUCGAGAACAACGCCCGAAGUGUCGAGUAAAGCAUGAGAGCGAAGUUUGAAUUAGUAUAGGUUAGGUAGGAUUUGUUUUUCGCAUUUUUUCUAUUUGGACUAUAUAAAUUGGAUUGGACACUAUAUUUUGAUUCGUUUUUGUUUUGUUUGUUUGUUUGAUUGUUUUUACAUGUUUUGUGUGGUUUGUACAUUCGUAGUGUCAAAAUUAACCGAUACGCUCCACCAAGCGACCGUGGUCAUACCACGGGGUCAAGGGGUGCCUAAUACCUUCCCCUCAAUCAACAAAAUCCUUAGUCGGAAUUCCUGUUCUUAAACAGUUUAAAGAGUCAAAUGGUUUUGAAAAGGAUUUUUCAAUGGUGACUUGGCACACCGGAUUAUGCCAAGUGGCGACUCUGAGUUUAAAUCUAAAUAAUCCUUUUUUGAAACAAAUUUUCAUCUUUUGUCACUCAAUAAUAAAAAACCCUCUUGAACUUAAAACAAAUCUUUUUUUAGAGUUAGCAAAGGGGUUAGGCAGCUCUGGCGACUCUGUUGGGGAUCAAACCCAAAAUAUAUGGUUAUUUUAUCGAGUCUUAUCAUCUUUGUUUGGCAUUAUGACUGUAUAAACAUUGUUUGUGAUUAUUGUUUGUGUUGUUGUUAUCACUGUUGUGCGUUUCUGUGCUCUCUGUUUACAGUUUUUAUUUAUUUGUUACCGCUUUAUAUUUGGCAUCAUUUGCAUAACUCAAGUCAAUUCUUUCUGCAACAAGUCUCAGAGUGCAUAUCGUGCGCACGAACUUUAGUUGAGUCACCCUUAUUUUAGGGGGGAAGCCGUUGGAUGUAUGGAGUAGGUAGAAAGCAAAGCAGCCACUAUCGACCAUAUGUUCCCCCGAACGGCCUGGUUAGUAAACCACAACGUAGGUCAGUCUUUAGGUCAUUCUUAUGUGCAUCAUAUUGAGACCUAGCAGGGGCCACACGGUCCUUUGUAGGAAACUCACCUUUAAAGCAUGAAUCAGGUGUGCGUAGUUCGUGAAGUUUUGCCAAAAUGGCCAAUUAAACUCUUUUUCCAUUCUUUUUCUUUUUCUAGAAUCUUAAAAAAAAAAUAACAAAUUGUCAAAAGAAUUGACAAAAAUCUUUUUGUAUUUUUCAAGUUUAAAUCCUUAUACAAAAUGAAAUCUAUAAUUACCAAUGAAAAUAUUUUUGGGCUUUCAAUUUUGAGUUUCAUACAAAAAUGAAAUUUAAACCUAUUAAAGGAAUUUUUUUUGUAAUUUCUUUUAAAGAUGUAUAUGAAACAUCUACUCUAAAUGAAGAGUGAGGAAAUAUCUAUUAUUACCAAAGAAAAUCUUUUUGGGCUUUCAAUUUGAAGUUUCACACAAAAUGAAAUUUAAACCUAUUAAAGGAAAAUCUUUUUGUAGUUUUCGUUUAAAAAUGUAUAUGAAACAUCUACUGUAAAUGAAGAGUGACGAAAAUCUUUUGAAUUUUUUCAGAUUUCUAUACAAAAUGAAAUUUAUGAUUACCGAAGAAAAUAUUUUUGGAUUUUCGAUUUUGAAUUUCAUACGAAAAUAAAGCUUGAACCUAUUAAAGGAAAAUAUUUUUUUGUUAUUUUGUUUUAAAGAUGUAAAUGAAAUACCUACUCUAAAUGAAGAGUGAAGAAAAUCUUUUUUUGGAUUUUUGAAAUAAGAUCCAUAACAAAUAAAACCUAUGAUUAUUAAGAAAAAUCUUUUUGUAUUUUUCUUUUCAAGACAUAUAUGAAACACCUACUCUAAAUGAGGAGAAGAAAAUCUUUUUUUUUUAUUUUUUAAAUAAGAUCCCCGAACCAACAAUAGGUUGCCUACGUAUCUCACUCCCGAGAGAGGAGAAUCAGGGGUGCGUAGUUCAUCCAGAUAGGACAAUUAAUGAUUAAAUAACCGACUGAACUCUAACUGGAGAGAUGCGACCACAAACAGAAGAUGAAAAACAUUCAUAAAAUCUUUUUGAGUUUUCAAUUUGACACUUAACCUAAAAAUGACACCAACAAAUAUGAAAGGAAAAUCUUUUUGAUAUUUUCAUUAUAUGAAAUAUACAAAACUUCUACCAUUUUUUUCUUUUUUUUUUUUUUACAAUUUCCUUUAUAAAAAUCUCCCAUUAAAAAAAUCAUUUUUUUUUUGAAAAUUGUUGAAUUGUGAAAGACAAAAGCCAUAAAGAACACUAAAAGCUACGAAACACUUUUUUUUUUCAAAUGGUUUCUUGUUUACAUAGUUUACUUUUAACACAUGUUUUCCCCAAAUCAGUCCAUCAAAUGACCACGUUACCCUCAAAGAUGCAACAUUUAGCACAUAGCGAAUUCUUCAGAUGCAAGUCUCCUACAAAGGGCCAUGUGGGUCUCGGUAGGUCUUCAAUAUGAUGCACAUAAUCAUGACCUAAAGGCUGACUUAUGUUGGUGUUCACUAACAAGGUUGUUCGGGGGAGCGUAUGGUCGAUUGUGGCUGCUUUGCUUUCCACCUACUCCAUAACACCGACAGCUCCGCCCCUAAAAUAAGGGUGACUCAACCAGAGGUCGUGUACACCAUGUGUACUACGGACUUGUUCCAGAAAGAAUGACUCGGGUUAUGCAAAUGAUGCCAGAUAUAAAGCGGUAACAUAUAAAAUAAAAACUGUAAACAAAGAGCACGCAAGCACUCAACAGUGAUAAUACGAUAACACAAAACAACACAAACAAAAUGUCCAUACACCUAUAGUGCCAAACUAAGCUGAUACAACUCCAAAAUAAGCUCGAAUUUUGAAAAGUCCCCAGCAGAGUUGCCAGAGCUGUCACACCCUUUUUUUACAACCAAAAAGAUUCGUUUUAAGUUCGAAAGGGUUUUUAUUAUCAAAGUGACAAAAGAUGAAAUUUUUUUUCAAAAGGACUAUUUACAUUUUUCUUCAGAGUCGCCACUUGGCAUUAUCCGAUGUGACAAGUCACCUUUGAAAGAUCCUUUUCAAAAUGAUUUGACUCUUUAAAAUUGGUUUGGGAACAGAGAUUCCGGCUAAGGAAUUCUGUUGACCGAGGGGAAGGUGUUAGGCAUCCCUCAAUCCCGUGGUUCGACCACGGUCGCUCAGUGGAAUAUAUCGGCUAAUUUGACACUAUGAAUGUAUAAACCACACAAAGCACAUAAACAACCCAAACAAGCAAAAAAAUAAAACAAUCCAAAAUUUACGAUGUGCAGUCCAAUUAUACAGUCCUAAGAAUAAAAAUGCUAAGAAUAAAUCCUAUUCUAACCUAUGCUAAUGUUGAACCAUGAUCUGAUGCCUUACUCGAUAACUCAAGACUUCAUCACGAAUGUCUUUCUCUAACACAAUACGUCGGGGCAUUCCCCGAUAAAUAAAUACAAGGCAUCUCGGGGCAUUCCCCGGCUAAAUGGAUACAUCUGAAUUAAACACGAUAAACAAGAAAGAGAUACUCACGCGUAUAUUCCAACAUUCAACCGAAACACAAGUUCUAAAUUUACUUACCCGAACCUAUAUUUGCCUAUCCCACUCGUCCUAUUAUGAUACUAUGAAGUUCGAUAUCAAUGAAUCAAAACAACAAUAAUCAGUUUAUCAACUUUUAACUUCCGCCCCAAAACAAUCAAUUUUAAUUCUCAAACAAGGUAUCAUUUCAUCACAUAAUCCAUAAUCAAUCCACAAUCAAGGGAAUCAACCACCGAAUCAGAACAAACAAAUAUUAACCAAUCCAACACUUAGACGUCAUCAACAAUUCACAUACCGAAUCACGUUCCACAAUCACAUACCUCAAUGCAGCUUUCAAGUAUUAUUCAAUCAAACGAGAUGAAUUCCGCACCGGAACCUCGAAUCGAACCUCAACACGAAUUCCAAAUCAAGCUUCGGUUUCACAAAAAAAAAUAUCCGAGCAUUCCAAAACCCAUAAAUUAAUAGAUAGUACAACAAGAGAAGAAUCCCGAAGAAACUUUCACGCGACAAUUCCAACGAGACUAGGCCGGAGACGUCAAAAACAGCCGAUUAAGCACCGGAUUUUGGCAUUUUCAGCAAGGCUCAAGAUUUUUCUAGUGAAAAUCGCUUUAAAAUUUAACAAAAGCGGAUCUCUCACUGAUUCACUUUCCCUCUCCCUUGUCUCACUGUUUCUUCUCUCUCCCUUCAAUUCUCUCUUUUCCCUUUGAUUCUCUCUCUCUCCCUCCAAGUAUCUUUCUCUCUCUCAUCUCUCUGUCCGUUUGGUUCCCUCUCUAUCCCAAAUUGUGUGUUAUGGAGAAAUAAUGGUUGUGGGUGUGUUCGUUAGCCAUGGAGAAGAGAAGAAAGAAAAAAAAUACCAUCUCCCGAGGUCUGUGUUCCUCCGGUGUGAAUGGCCCUUGAAUUGUAUAUGGGUAUUGAUGGGUAUAUGUGAAUUGUGGAGAAGAUAGAUGUUGAUGGUGUCCACCGUUCGUAUUGUUACCCCCUUGUGCAUGUAUGUGAUGUGCAUAUAUAUCCAUUCUGUUGAAAUUAUAUGGGUCCUGAUUGGAAUUGUACGUGAGGUGUGAGGGUAGGCGUGGGGUAGGGGUAGGUUGUUAAGAUAAAGUUUGUUAGGAUAAAAUUUGUUAGGGUAGGUGGGGUAGAGGUUGUUUAUUAUUUUGUCCUUUUAUGGAGGGAUAAUUA
Molecule: long non-coding RNA, 18193 nt
Filed under: Capsicum annuum
Lineage: Eukaryota; Viridiplantae; Streptophyta; Magnoliopsida; Solanales; Solanaceae
Description: long non-coding RNA (CANN_LNC005763)
Source: RNAcentral